This 767-nucleotide ribosomal RNA is filed under the name Staphylococcus aureus. RNAcentral's name for it is "partial 23S ribosomal RNA". It matches the Rfam family "Bacterial large subunit ribosomal RNA", at positions 690 to 1461 of the family's 2925-position model. The record is from RNAcentral. Lineage: Bacteria; Bacillati; Bacillota; Bacilli; Caryophanales; Staphylococcaceae.
GGGCGUUUAGUAUUUGGUCGUAGACCCGAAACCAGGUGAUCUACCCUUGGUCAGGUUGAAGUUCAGGUAACACUGAAUGGAGGACCGAACCGACUUACGUUGAAAAGUGAGCGGAUGAACUGAGGGUAGCGGAGAAAUUCCAAUCGAACCUGGAGAUAGCUGGUUCUCUCCGAAAUAGCUUUAGGGCUAGCCUCAAGUGAUGAUUAUUGGAGGUAGAGCACUGUUUGGACGAGGGGCCCCUCUCGGGUUACCGAAUUCAGACAAACUCCGAAUGCCAAUUAAUUUAACUUGGGAGUCAGAACAUGGGUGAUAAGGUCCGUGUUCGAAAGGGAAACAGCCCAGACCACCAGCUAAGGUCCCAAAAUAUAUGUUAAGUGGAAAAGGAUGUGGCGUUGCCCAGACAACUAGGAUGUUGGCUUAGAAGCAGCCAUCAUUUAAAGAGUGCGUAAUAGCUCACUAGUCGAGUGACACUGCGCCGAAAAUGUACCGGGGCUAAACAUAUUACCGAAGCUGUGGAUUGUCCUUUGGACAAUGGUAGGAGAGCGUUCUAAGGGCGUUGAAGCAUGAUCGUAAGGACAUGUGGAGCGCUUAGAAGUGAGAAUGCCGGUGUGAGUAGCGAAAGACGGGUGAGAAUCCCGUCCACCGAUUGACUAAGGUUUCCAGAGGAAGGCUCGUCCGCUCUGGGUUAGUCGGGUCCUAAGCUGAGGCCGACAGGCGUAGGCGAUGGAUAACAGGUUGAUAUUCCUGUACCACCUAUAAUCGUUUUA